GCAGUCGAACGAUACUUUCCAGCUUGCUGGAAAGGAAAGUGGCGCACGGGUGCGUAACGCGUAUGCAACCUACCUUAAUCAGGGGGAUAGCCCGAAGAAAUUCGGAUUAACACCGCAUAAAAUCACAGUACAGCAUUGUACAAUGAUCAAAUAUUUAUAGGAUUAAGAUGGGCAUGCGUGACAUUAGCUAGUUGGCGGGGUAACGGCCCACCAAGGCUACGAUGUCUAGGGGAUCUGAGAGGAUGACCCCCCACACUGGUACUGAGACACGGACCAGACUCCUACGGGAGGCAGCAGUAAGGAAUAUUGGUCAAUGGAGGCAACUCUGAACCAGCCAUGCCGCGUGCAGGAAGACAGCCCUCUGGGUCGUAAACUGCUUUUAUUCGGGAAUAAACCUACUUACGUGUAAGUAGCUGAAUGUACCGAAGGAAUAAGGAUCGGCUAACUCCGUGCCAGCAGCCGCGGUAAUACGGAGGAUCCAAGCGUUAUCCGGAUUUAUUGGGUUUAAAGGGUGCGUAGGCGGCUUUUUAAGUCAGGGGUGAAAGACGGUAGCUCAACUAUCGCAGUGCCCUUGAUACUGAAGAGCUUGAAUGGACUAGAGGUAGGCGGAAUGUGACAAGUAGCGGUGAAAUGCAUAGAUAUGUCACAGAACACCGAUUGCGAAGGCAGCUUACUAUGGUUUUAUUGACGCUGAGGCACGAAAGCGUGGGGAUCAAACAGGAUUAGAUACCCUGGUAGUCCACGCCCUAAACGAUGAAUACUCGCUGUUAGCGAUACACAGUUAGCGGCUAAGCGAAAGCGUUAAGUAUUCCACCUGGGGAGUACGGUCGCAAGAUUGAAACUCAAAGGAAUUGACGGGGGCCCGCACAAGCGGAGGAGCAUGUGGUUUAAUUCGAUGAUACGCGAGGAACCUUACCCGGGCUUGAAAGUUAGUGAAUCAUUUAGAGAUAGAUGAGUCCGCAAGGACACGAAACUAGGUGCUGCAUGGCUGUCGUCAGCUCGUGCCGUGAGGUGUUGGGUUAAGUCCCGCAACGAGCGCAACCCCUAUGUUUAGUUGCCAGCACGUAAUGGUGGGGACUCUAAACAGACUGCCUGUGCAAACAGAGAGGAAGGAGGGGACGACGUCAAGUCAUCAUGGCCCUUACGUCCGGGGCUACACACGUGCUACAAUGGAUGGUACAGAGGGCAGCAAGCUGGUAACAGCAAGCAAAUCUCCAAAAGCCAUUCACAGUUCGGAUAGAGGUCUGCAACUCGACCUCUUGAAGUUGGAUUCGCUAGUAAUCGUAUAUCAGCAAUGAUACGGUGAAUACGUUCCCGGGCCUUGUACACACCGCCCGUCAAGCCAUGGAAGUUGGGGGUACCUAAAGUAUGUAACCGCAAGGAG
This 1384-nucleotide ribosomal RNA is filed under the name Pedobacter sp. HL-19. RNAcentral's name for it is "bacterial SSU rRNA". It matches the Rfam family "Bacterial small subunit ribosomal RNA". The record is from RNAcentral. Lineage: Bacteria; Pseudomonadati; Bacteroidota; Sphingobacteriia; Sphingobacteriales; Sphingobacteriaceae.